GCCGCUGUAGCUCAGUUGGGAGAGCGCGGGACUGAAGAUCCUGAGGUCGCCGGUUCGAUCCCGGCCGGCGGCACCA
Molecule: transfer RNA, 76 nt
Filed under: Marine Group III euryarchaeote CG-Bathy1
Lineage: Archaea; Methanobacteriati; Thermoplasmatota; Thermoplasmata; Candidatus Thermoprofundales
Description: tRNA-Phe
Rfam family: tRNA
About the family: Transfer RNA (tRNA) molecules are approximately 80 nucleotides in length. Their secondary structure includes four short double-helical elements and three loops (D, anti-codon, and T loops).
Source: RNAcentral